Molecule: transfer RNA, 69 nt
Filed under: Rhynchobatus djiddensis (giant guitarfish)
Lineage: Eukaryota; Metazoa; Chordata; Chondrichthyes; Rhinopristiformes; Rhynchobatidae
Also listed under: 2 other names
Description: tRNA-His
Rfam family: tRNA
About the family: Transfer RNA (tRNA) molecules are approximately 80 nucleotides in length. Their secondary structure includes four short double-helical elements and three loops (D, anti-codon, and T loops). Further hydrogen bonds mediate the characteristic L-shaped molecular structure. tRNAs have two regions of fundamental functional importance: the anti-codon, which is responsible for specific mRNA codon recognition, and the 3' end, to which the tRNAs corresponding amino acid is attached (by aminoacyl-tRNA synthetases). tRNAs cope with the degeneracy of the genetic code in two manners: having more than one tRNA (with a specific anti-codon) for a particular amino acid; and 'wobble' base-pairing, i.e. permitting non-standard base-pairing at the 3rd anti-codon position.
Source: RNAcentral
GUAAUUAUAGUUUAACCAAAACAUUAGAUUGUGGUUCUAAAAACAAAAGUUAAAGUCUUUUUAAUUACC